CUCGUAGGUGGCCAACUAAGUCAGACGUGAAAUCCCCAGGCUCAACUUGGGAACUGCGUCUGAUACUGGAUGGCUUGAAUUCGGGAGAGGGAUGCAGAAUUCCAGGUGUAGCGGUGAAAUGCGUAGAUAUCUGGAGGAAUACCGGUGGCGAAGGCGGCAUCCUGGACCGAUAUUGACACUGAUGAGCGAAAGCUAGGGGAGCAAACG
This 207-nucleotide ribosomal RNA is filed under the name uncultured bacterium. RNAcentral's name for it is "partial 16S ribosomal RNA". It matches the Rfam family "Bacterial small subunit ribosomal RNA", at positions 568 to 774 of the family's 1533-position model. The record is from RNAcentral.